RNAcentral lists this long non-coding RNA (648 nucleotides) under Pongo abelii (Sumatran orangutan). RNAcentral describes it as "lincRNA". The record is from RNAcentral. Lineage: Eukaryota; Metazoa; Chordata; Mammalia; Primates; Hominidae.
GCCUAUGAUCUACCGUGUCGAUUCCAACUCAGAGAAUCUUUACAUCUGGAGAUCUACAGCAGGGCUAUCCCUAGUGACAUGCGUGAAGGAGCUUGGAAAUGGUGCUGGGUAGGAGCUGAGUGUGCAGAAUGUGGAAAGGCAUUCUAAACCUAAGGAAGAACAUGAGUAAAGAUGAUGAAGCAGGGAUAAGGCUAAAAUGAAAUAUGUGAUCUGAUCCACAUACAAACACAGCGUAGUACAGCUGGAAUAUAGAGAAGAGCUUGAGGACCCAUGAGCAACUAUCCCAGUACUCUUGGAGGCUCUGCCACCACAGUUUGAGAAACUCCGCAUUCAAAGUUAAAAACUGUCACCUGAAUAGUUAAUAACAUCAAAGAUUGUGAAAGCAAGUAUAAAUAACACAGAGAUUAAAAUAAUGAGGCAGGAUCAGAAAUUACUGACCUCCAUAACAGCAGACAAAAUUGGAAGCAAGAGUGAUUUUGGAGGAGUCACACUUAGAUGUUUCCCUUACCUAUUUCUGUUCUGGAAAUUUAAAAAUCUUACUUCUCGUAACAGUCCUACAUGAAAAAUUAAAAAUCACAAGGAUUCAUGGAUGGAAAACUGAGACUCAGAGAAUGAUCACAUUCACAUCGUAAUAAAUCAGCAAUAGAG